Long non-coding RNA from Mus musculus (house mouse), 1597 nucleotides. RefSeq annotates it as predicted gene 10824. NCBI's taxonomy places the organism in Eukaryota, Metazoa, Chordata, Mammalia, Rodentia, Muridae. The transcript is spliced from 5 exons. The record is from RefSeq and is a predicted model, not a curated record.
UCCUGGAGCUGAUCCGGGGUAGUUAACUAGGGGGCAGGAGGCUGGAUUCAGCUUAAGUCUGAAGAUCAAAGAACGUGUUGAGCGAGCCGCCAGGAGGAAGCCAAAGGGCUGGAGGGUGCAGCCUUUGGCUCUGACAGUUUCAAAUUUGAAAGAAGGUGGAAGGCUAGGAGGCAAAUUCUGCUGAUCAGCUGGACCCCGCUCUCUCUUGCGUGUACUUUCCUGCAGCAGUAACCCAGAGCCUUCCCUGAACUGAGCUUGCACCAGUUUUCCCAACACCGCUAAAGGAAGCGAAGCGGAGGCUGUGAGGACUUGCAGGCUGGGGACCCAAGCUUCUCUCACAUCCCGCUAACUUCCUUAAACCCGAGAUGGCCUUUCCCUCUUCCAUAUCUGCUCCCUCCCCUCUCCCCCGCAGCGCUCAUCCCACGCCCACCCUCACCCCUGGCUUCACAGUCCCACUUCCUGAAGCACAGGGCUGCAAGCCCGACUCUUCCUCACCCGAGAGAGGAAGAAAUCUGCAGAUCUGGGAUUAAGUUGUACGAGGGAACAAGAUGAGAGCGCACCUGGUCGGGCCAUAUCCUUAGUACAGAACCGAACUCAUGUUUUCUAAGGCUCUACUGGCUUGGGACAAAGAUAGUCUCUACUCCUUUGCAACCGCAUCUUAAAUUUUGGCACUGGAACCUAGGCUGGGUACCAGGCAGCCAGGGAGUUGCAAACUUUGGGGAAGAAGUGAGAACAAGAGGAGCAGGGAAGAAGGGGAACAUGGGAACACGGAUGAGAAAGCUGGAUCUGGCCCUCUGAGAAAACAGCCCCGUGUGGAGCCAGGACUUUGGUUUCUCAUGACCUUUCUCCUCAAGCCGAGGCUUCAGAUUAUAACUAGGAUGAACAAAGACUUUAAAAUCGUGUAUGUCUCCUGUUUAUGGAGAAAAAGCUUCUAUGGGGCCACCCGCGCAGAGUGCGCAAAACGUCAAGAAUUUACUUGGCUGGUAAAAACGUGACUAGAAACUUGGGAAUUUUCCUGGGCUAACCGCAGCCUGACUUCUGGUGGUAACACUAACCUUCCUUCCUCUGCCAGAAUCCCUGGGUCCGUCUGGCGAGGGCCCCAUCUCUUAGGUGGAAGGGAAGGCAGGUGAGCGUAUGAGCAGGUGUCACCACCUAGAGUUUGAACUGAACUCUUGAAAGUCAAGUUGGGAUAGGUCUGAGGCGUCGCCAGACGCCUUGAAAUAUCAUCCAGUGAAAGUGUGCAAACGACACAGAUGAAGAGUCACUGGACAGCGGAGUUUGCACCUGGGGCUCGGUGGCUUCUCAGCUGUGACAAACCCCUGGAAUAGGUGUUUCCCGGAAGAUCUCACGAAGGCUCCGCCCCGCGUGGUCCUUACGUGGGCUGGAGUCCUGAGUAGAACUUAUCCUAACCAGGUGGAGAUUUAAAUGACUGCAUCCACUCCCAAGAUUUAUUGCAAGAGUGAUUGAUGUUAUAAACCAGGAAAGGACUCUUCCCACAGCAGGGAUGACAGAAAUAUCAAGUUGAAGUUGCCUUUGUCUGCAUGCAACGCGUAAGCCAGUGCUACAACACAGACAGCUUUGAGAGAACACCCACCAA